This 253-nucleotide ribosomal RNA is filed under the name uncultured bacterium. Its description in RNAcentral is "partial 16S ribosomal RNA". It matches the Rfam family "Bacterial small subunit ribosomal RNA", at positions 524 to 776 of the family's 1533-position model. The record is from RNAcentral.
UACGUAGGGGGCAAGCGUUGUCCGGAUUUAUUGGGCGUAAAGAGCGUGUAGGCGGCUUUACAGGUCCGUUGUGAAAACUCGAGGCUCAACCUCGAGACGCCGGUGGAAACCGUAAGGCUAGAGUCCGGAAGAGGAGAGUGGAAUUCCUGGUGUAGCGGUGAAAUGCGCAGAUAUCGGGAGGAACACCUGUGGCGAAAGCGGCUCACUGGACCACAACUGACGCUGAGGCGCGAAAGCUAGGGGAGCAAACAGG